CCCCUCUCAGGAUCACAUCUAGUGAGUUUCCAGGACACUACCAGUCUUGGCUAUGGGAGGAAGAGUCAAGCAGAGGCAUGUCCUUUCCAUUCCUAGCUUGGGCAGUGGCUGGCGAGAGGAAGGCAUUCUGCUACAAGU
Small nucleolar RNA from Ornithorhynchus anatinus (platypus), 138 nucleotides. NCBI's taxonomy places the organism in Eukaryota, Metazoa, Chordata, Mammalia, Monotremata, Ornithorhynchidae. The record is from RefSeq and is a predicted model, not a curated record.